UGGGGAAUAUUGGACAAUGGGGGAAACCCUGAUCCAGCGAUGCCGCGUGUAUGAUGAAGGUCUUCGGAUUGUAAAGUACUUUUAUUGGUGACGAUGAUGACGGUAACCAAUGAAUAAGCUCCGGCUAACUUCGUGCCAGCAGCCGCGGUAAUACGAAGGGAGCUAGCGUUGUUCGGAAUAACUGGGCGUAAAGGGUGCGUAGGUGGGUAUGUGCGUUAGAUGUGAAAUCCCCGGGCUUAACCUGGGAACGGCAUUUAAUACGGCAUAUCUAGAGUGCGAGAGGGGAAGGCGGAAUGGCGAGUGGAGCAGUGAAAUGCAUUGAGAUUCGCUAGAACACCAGAGGCGAAGGCGGCUUUCUGGCUCGCUACUGACACUAAGGCACGAAAGCGUGGGGAGCAAA
This 400-nucleotide ribosomal RNA is filed under the name uncultured bacterium. Its description in RNAcentral is "bacterial SSU rRNA". It matches the Rfam family "Bacterial small subunit ribosomal RNA", at positions 355 to 772 of the family's 1533-position model. The record is from RNAcentral.